This is a non-coding RNA of Paramuricea clavata, 74 nucleotides long. The record is from the annotation of a GenBank genome assembly. NCBI's taxonomy places the organism in Eukaryota, Metazoa, Cnidaria, Anthozoa, Malacalcyonacea, Plexauridae.
GUCUCUGUAACUCGGUUGGUUAGAGCGCUGCACCGGAAUCGCAGGGCCGUAGGUUCAAUUCCUACCAGAGGACC